This 460-nucleotide ribosomal RNA is filed under the name uncultured Methylomirabilota bacterium. RNAcentral describes it as "bacterial SSU rRNA". It matches the Rfam family "Bacterial small subunit ribosomal RNA", at positions 977 to 1434 of the family's 1533-position model. The record is from RNAcentral. Lineage: Bacteria; Methylomirabilota (SeqCode).
GGGCUUGACAUCCCACGAAUCCCUUCGAAAGAAGGGAGUGCCCGCAAGGGAGCGCGGAGACAGGUGGUGCAUGGCUGUCGUCAGCUCGUGUCGUGAGAUGUUGGGUUAAGUCCCGCAACGAGCGCAACCCUCACCCCUUGUUGCCAUCAGGUCAGGCUGGGCACUCUAGGGGAACUGCCCCGGUCAACGGGGAGGAAGGUGGGGACGACGUCAAGUCAUCAUGCCCCUUACGUCCUGGGCUACACACGUGCUACAAUGGCCGGUACAAAGGGAUGCCACACCGCGAGGUAGAGCUAAACCCAAAAAGCCGGUCUAAGUUCAGAUUGGAGUCUGCAACUCGACUCCAUGAAGGAGGAAUCGCUAGUAAUCGCGUAUCAGCACGACGCGGUGAAUACGUUCCCGGGCCUUGUACACACCGCCCGUCACACCACGAAAGCCAGUUGUACUCGAAGUCGCUGAG